UAUAUAUAUAUAUAUAUAUAUAUAUACGUGCCGCAUACGCAUAAAUAAUAGUGUCGAAAAUUACAUGAUAUACAUAUAAAUAUAUAUACGAGCAUCGAUCGAUCCACGCGAUGACAAAAUUGUGGGGAAACGGUUCUAGUUGCCAAAAAAAAAAAAAAAAAAAAAAAGAGAAAUUAUACAAUAAUAAUGAUAAUGUUUAUGAUAAUGAUAAUGAUAAUGAUAAUGAUAAUAAUGAAGAAGAAGAAGGAAAAUAAAUGUGAAAAAAGGAACUAUGUAUCAUGUAAGAUUGACAAAUGAAUCGAAACUGUUGUUGAUUCGCGCGAUGUGUGAUUUUUUUUUUAUUUAACAUUUGUACGAUGUUGAAGAGAUUGAUUGGGGGAGGGGGGGGGGGGUUAUUCAGGUUGAACAGUGAUCAUGAAAUAUAUUAAUAUAAUGUAGGUACACUCAUACGGUAUUAUAUUGUGUAAUCACUCGUCGUUUGAACAUAAAAGACAAAAGAAAAGGGGAAAAAGAAAGAAAAAAAAAAUCCGAAGCCACCGUUUGCAGCACAUACAUAUUUUAAAUUUAGUAUUGAGAGAGAGAGAGAGUGAAAGAGAGAGAGAGAGAGAGAGAGAGAGAGAUAGAAUAUUUUCCACUACCUUUUGACUUCGUUUUCAUUUAAAAUCCGAAAAGAAAAAUAUAUGAAAUGAAAAAUUAUACUUAUAGAUAUAUAGAUAUUCACCGAUCGAUUUAUUGUCUAAGGUCGAAGACACAUUUCUAUAUAUACAUAUAUAUACAUAUAUAUAUAUAUAUACGUGUAUACGUUUGAAAAACAUGGAGAAUAAAUGCGAACAAAAAACAAACGUCGGAGAAGAUGUAAAGAAAGAGAAUUGAAAAUUAAACAUAAAAAAAAAGAAAAGAAAGAAAACCACACAAAUAAUAUUGAUAAGAAUAAUGAUAA
This is a long non-coding RNA of Diprion similis, 940 nucleotides long. RefSeq lists it as uncharacterized. Lineage: Eukaryota; Metazoa; Arthropoda; Insecta; Hymenoptera; Diprionidae. The record is from RefSeq and is a predicted model, not a curated record. The transcript is spliced from 2 exons.